This 652-nucleotide long non-coding RNA is filed under the name Elaeis guineensis (African oil palm). Its description in RNAcentral is "long non-coding RNA (EGUI_LNC002882)". Lineage: Eukaryota; Viridiplantae; Streptophyta; Magnoliopsida; Arecales; Arecaceae. The record is from RNAcentral.
UACGGGAGCCGGGCUCCACCCACGACCUCUGCAGCAAGAGAGACUUCGCCCGGACUCCUACGGGAGCCGGACUCCACCCCACGACUUCUGCAGCAAGGAAGACUCCGCCCGCCCUGGCAAUGGCCCUUACGUGCCCUCGCGGGAACGGGAGGAGAACCUCAUCCUGAUGGUGACGAAACCUGGCCGCCCAACGAGAUCGGAUGAAGGGAAAAAGCCCCUUAGCGGCACCUCCACGCUCCUGUGCAACCCCGCAAAGGGCGAGGGGAGGGCCCUCACUCGGAGAAGAGGAGGAAAAUUAAAAAGAAAGGAUGACGAACUACGACGGAAACAGAUGAAGGACGAACUGCACCAAAAACCUAAAAGACUUCAUCCCAACGGAGAUGGGGAGUUCCUACCAAACACCCCCGGCCUCUAAAAAGACUCCCGACACAGGUCAAGAGGACAGCGACAUCCCCGAAGUAAUGUGGAGUUCGGACCGUCAAGCUCGGGCUUACGGCCAUGUACGACGAGGAAGGCAAGCUAACGCAUCGACGACUGGGCACCUCCCAACGAUGUCUACAUCAGACAAGACGAACGACAAGAAAAGUUCGGCGGACGACAAUCUAAUACAAUGCGCGGACGAGGUAACACAAAACAUCUUUUUCAUUCCAUU